This 382-nucleotide ribosomal RNA is filed under the name uncultured Katablepharidophyta. Its description in RNAcentral is "partial small subunit ribosomal RNA". It matches the Rfam family "Eukaryotic small subunit ribosomal RNA", at positions 30 to 432 of the family's 1831-position model. The record is from RNAcentral. Lineage: Eukaryota; Cryptophyceae; Kathablepharidacea.
GCUUGUCUCAAAGAUUAAGCCAUGCAUGUCUUAGUGUAAAUAACUCUUAUGAAACUGCGAAUGGCUCAUUAAAUCAGUUAUCAAAUACGUGAUGGUCGCCUACUACAUGGAUAACCGUAGUAAUUCUAGAGCUAAUACAUGCACAAAAUCCCGACUUACGAAGGGAUGUAUUUAUUAGAUACAAACCAACAUCGUGGUGAUUCAUAAUAACUUUGCGAAUCGUAUGCCUCACGGCGACGAUGAAUCAUUCAAGUUUCUGACCUAUCAGCUUCCGACGGUAGGGUAUUGGCCUACCGUGGCAAUGACGGGUAACGGAGAAUUAGGGUUCGAUUCCGGAGAGGGAGCCUGAGAAACGGCUACCACAUCCAAGGAAGGCAGCAGG